RNAcentral lists this long non-coding RNA (3610 nucleotides) under Elaeis guineensis (African oil palm). RNAcentral describes it as "long non-coding RNA (EGUI_LNC013765)". The record is from RNAcentral. Lineage: Eukaryota; Viridiplantae; Streptophyta; Magnoliopsida; Arecales; Arecaceae.
AAACCAACCAACGAGAGACACGUCCAUGCAACGAACAACUUUAACAACUUCAACAUAUCCUCAUAGAUCAGUAGCCGUAGCUAGUCGACCAGACCACGGGUCCAUAGACAACGGCUUGUCCAUUGAUCUGGACGACAAGCACAUAGUCUCCAUCCUUGGAUGCGGGCUGGCUGCGCCACACCGUCUUGUACUGAUCGUCUACAAUGGCUAGCUGCCCACGGUGGUCGAGCCUAAGGAAGCAGUACUCGCCUCCAUCCACAGUCCCAGUCUGCCAGAUGAUGCCUGUGGACCUCUUAGCCAGGGCCAGAUUGCAGCUCUCCCUCAUGAUGAAGGUGUAAUCCCUCGUCGUUAGCUGGGCAUCGUCGUAGAUAACCUGGGACGAGAACAGCACGUUGUUCGGCGUUAACGUUGGAACGUCCAUCAGCCGAGUAGACGCAGCGCCCCUGGUGCUGCGGAAUCCGUAGUUGGGCGUGGACCAAACGGCAGGGCCAUAGAUGGCUAUCUCACCGUCCGGUCGGAGGACGGCGGCGUACUUUCCUCUCGUGUAGUUGCCGCGGAGCUGGGAAAACCAGACGGCAGAGCCGCUGGCUCCUUUGAUGACGAAUUGGCCGAAGUCGUUGAGUGUGAGAGUGCAAUUGUCGCCAUUGCCAUGGGUGUUGGAUUGGAAGCCACGGCGGUUGUUGUACAAGACCAGGUUGCAGUCACCUUGCAUGGCGAAUGUGGCGUCACCGUUGGUUAGCUGGCCGUUGGUGGGGAUAACAUCGCCGGUGAGAAGGACAUUGCUGUCGUUGGCCGUGGAUGGCGGUGCGAGAAGUGAGACGAUGGAUGAAAGGGCGAGGAGGAGGAGAGGAAGCUUGCGGAUCGAGGAUGGAAUUGCCAUUGGUAAUACUCUGGUCGAGCGUCUUAAUUACUCCUGCUCUUGCUGUUGUUCAUGUAUACGUACGUGGUCGUUAUAUAUAUAUAGACGGGGCGAGAGGGAAGAGCCUUCGGCCAAUGUCGCUGGACACUUGCCAGUGGACAAGGGUCCUCGCGUCGCCCAGCCUAUCGUGGAAAGCGAAGCAACGAGACGGCACCAAUGAGCCCGAAGAGGAGAGAAAUAUUAUGCUGGUACGCCGGCAGCUGCGCUUUGUUUCCCACGUUGAACACCCUGGCGCGCCUCAAUGUUUGGGGACCGGCUUUCCCCUUUGGCGUGAUAAGUUUAUCCCUUGAACUUGGGGGACAGGUGGGUCACAUGGGAGAACUUAUUUGGUCCUAGAAUGGGUUUAAGCAGCGGGCGCUCGGUGGACCUGAUCCACUUGAACUUGGUCAAAAAAAAGUUUGGGACCGGACAUGAGUCGUAGUUAGGACUCAGCCUUUUAGUUGGUCCGGAAUUAAUAAACUAAGUUAAAUCUAGAGUCAUAGAGUCCAUCCAUUUGUCUCACUUCAUUAAAGUUUACAUAAGAGAGAGAAAAUAUUAGAAACCAAACUAAUUGUUUGUUUCCAUUCUGUGCCCGUAAGUUACUGGCAACACAUAAAAGAUUGACAUAUGGACAAGAAUUGCAAGCUAAUCUCCAUUUCACAAUGAUGCUUCCAUCUAACAAACCAACAAUCCCCCAUCAUCACCAAACAAAGGUUUUAUCUUUGGUGCAAAAGAAAGGAUUCUCCUUCCUUUGCAUGAAUCCACCAUUAGAUCAUACAAUGGCUGCUUCAAAAUUUUUAUAAAUAGAUGAAUGGAGUUUGGAUUGCUUUGAGAGCUAUACAAAUAGUUGUUAUAGUUUAAAACGUCCUCUAUUAUAUCUCCUAUUAACCAUGCGUGGUCGAUAUCUCAUAAUUAACUUUUUUAUUUUUUUAUAUUAUGCCUUGUCUUCGCAUUUUGCUUCAUAAACACCUCUUCUUAUUCCAUCAAAAUAGAGUCCACAUGUAUUAUUAAGAUAUCUUUUCUUAGCAAUUUUUUUUUUUUUUUUAUCAAAGUUCAACAAAAUUCUUCCUACUAAAAUUAUAGUAUAUUUUAAUUUUUUUAAGAGACAAAUAUAAUUAGUGUUGACAUGUCGCCAUCGAGUGGUGAUCAAAUAGUGAUGCACAGUGAUAGGUUUUUUUGGUUGACACGGCAUGUUGCAUGAUGAGGGUGUGCUUCUCAUCAUCAAAUAAGAAAUCCUUACAUCUCAUGCAUCCUGACUUAAUUAUGCCAUUUGGAGAUACCUAAGGAGGCAAAUAACCUAUAAAUCUGUUUGAAAAGUAACUUGGAAACAUAUGAUUUGAAGUAGAAAUAAAUAGACCUAAUAAGUAGUUAGGUUAGGGUUUGGUCUCGAAAUAUGAUUUGAACUUUUACUAGGUUGAGUGUAGAGUACUACGAUGGACUCAUAGUCAAAAAUCCAAAACAUGGCCCCUAUACACUAUAUGCAUAUAUGUGUGUGUAUGCAUGUAUGUACGUAUGCAUGCAUACUUCCACCAUUUAACUUUUUCUUGCUUUUAGUCAUAGAAGAAGAUGAAGUAGAUAGUAUUACAAACUCUAACGUACUCACCUUUUUCCACCAAAUUUCUAUAGUGGGCUUUGGUUUCACUACUCAAAAUCAAACAUAGUUAUUCUUUUUGCAUAAUACUACUUCAUUUUUGCUAUUUUCUUACAUCGUUAUUUCUUUAUUUAUGGUUCAGAAGUCACGAAAAGUGAGAUUUUGGAUGCAUCAAAUAGAUCUACAAAUAAGUUAAAAGCAUGAUAAGAAAACUUGCUUGAUACCUUAUUAUGAUCUGAAAUGCAAUCUUUUUGAGUCCAAUGUUCAGUAUGUAUGAAGGGUGUUAUUUAGGUUUGGUUUGGGUUUGGGUUUGGAGAUAAUGUGUGUAUUUCAGGUUUGGAGAAGGAUCGAUAUAGCCAAACCUAAGCCAAAUCUGGUCCGUUGACAUCCUAGUCACCUGUCUACAUGAAUAUUAUAUACUAUCUCGAGGCAUUUCAAAUACCAAGUAAAUAUCCCUCCUGACUUGGUUCAAUAUUUGCAUCUCAUGACUAAUAGGUAACCAAUCAUGCUUCAAUCGCUGGAGUUAACAAUCUUGCCGAGUAAUGUUGAGAUUCUGCCACCAUUCAAGAAUUUAUAGUUGAAGUUUUUGGUCAUUUUGGUGGUGGUCAGUCUUGAGAUGGAUUGAGAACUCAAUUGAGAGGAGAAAUUUUAAUUGUUCGGGAAAAAAUUUUAGCUAAGACAUAGGGCGUGAUCGAUUCAAAAGCUUGACUUAAUGCAUGGUAAAAUUUAAAUGGUCUAUCAUCUUCAGAUAGAUAAUGAUUUCCAGAUUUUAUUAUUAAAGAAAAAAUUGCUUUUCAUGCCUGCAACUCCUUGGAAAUAAAUCUCGUAGAGGUCCUGCCAGUAGCAGGCCAAAAAUUAUUAUUCGUCAAACGCGAGAUACCAAACAAACAAAGAGAGACACGUCCAUGCAACGAGCAACUUCAACAUGUCCUCAUAGAUCAGUAGCCGUAGCUAGUCGACCAGACGAGAGGUCCAUAGACAACGGCUUGUCCGUUGAUCUGGACGACAAGCACAUAGUCUCCAUCCUUGGAUGCAGGCUGGCUGCGCCACACCGUCUUGUACUGAUCGUCUACAAUGGCUAGCUGCCCAUGGUGGUCAAGCCUAAGGAAGCAGUACUCGCC